RNA transcript from Papilio machaon (common yellow swallowtail), 1337 nucleotides. RefSeq lists it as uncharacterized. The transcript is spliced from 2 exons. The record is from RefSeq and is a predicted model, not a curated record. NCBI's taxonomy places the organism in Eukaryota, Metazoa, Arthropoda, Insecta, Lepidoptera, Papilionidae.
UAGGCCUCUUUUCCAUUACACGGUUUCUCGCCGUGAAAAUCUACGGUUAAUUCGCCGCGUGUAGGCACGGUCGUCAGUGUGGUAUGGAUCACUAUAUGAGCUUGUCGACAUGCACGGUGGCGCCAAGGCACGGCGCCGCGGCCGCGUGCGCCGUGACUGCCCCUCGGCGCGCCGCGUCUACGCACGGCGUGAUUUUCACCAGUGUUGUAUGGCAGUCUAUCGGGGUGUGUCGACGGUGCCGGACGUACGCACGGAUUCGUGACCGCUUAUAUACGCUGUUUCGCGAUUUUAUUAUAAAAUGAACAUAAAUCAAGAAUUAUUAAUUACGUUGAUUCAAGAAAGGCCUGUAAUAUGGGAUAAGACCAUCGACGAUUAUAAAAAUAAGCGGCUUAAAUAUGAUUCCUGGAAAGAAAUAUUUAUUCAUUUCCAGCCCACAUUUGAAGAUUUAAGUGGUGAUGAGAAAAACAAGUUUGGGCAAAUGGUGAUGAAGAAGUGGACCAAUAUGAAAGAUAGCUGGAUAAAAUAUGACAAAAAAAUUAAUGAAUGUAAGUCUGGUUCUUCAGCAAAAAAAAUAAGAAAAUAUAUGUUCUAUGAUGAAAUGAUGUUCCUAAAAAAAAAUGUUGAGCAUCGCAAGACCGAUUCUAACAUGACUGAACAUGUUCAUGAUUCUAGCCUCAGUAAUGAAAAUUUUGAUAGUGCAGUCCCGAAUCAAUCAAGCUCGGGAUACACUGAACGGAGACGCAAAGGGCUAAAAAAAAAAGAAAAAAUGAACUAAGUGAAGUUGACAUUAGGUUUAUGAAGUUUAUGGAUUCAGCAGAACGAGAUGAGAAAAAGAAAAGCCGUAGUAUGAACUUUUUUAUGGGAAUCGCUGAUACAGUUGACAAGUUCAGUGAUGAAAAUAUGAUAGACUUUCAGUUUCAAGUAAUUUCAAUAAUUAAAAAUAUUCAACAAAGACAGUGUACUCAGUAUAUACCUACAUCAAGAAACCAAUGGGAUCAAGGCCAUCAAGGAUAUUUAAGUGGUACAGCAUCCUCAAAUGCGCAAUCGUCAACAUAUGGAUAUUCUACAGCUGCUAGAUCGAGCUAUGGAAUAAGUCGUCCACAGACGUCUUCUCAUGAUUUUGGACACGGUUCUGGUUUAGAGCCAAUCCACUACCGACCCGAAUCACAAUUAUCUGUACAUAGUGUAAAUGCGGAAAGUAUCUCGGCAGAUUCUCAAGUUUCUAUUGAAGACGAAUUCGAUUUUAGUACCGAACUUGAGUAGCAUUUUCAGCGUAGUGUAUUUUUUGAUUUACUUGUUCUUAAAUUAAUAAUUAUUAAAAUUCAAUUACAUGUAAU